Cygnus olor (mute swan) is the source of this 374-nucleotide long non-coding RNA. RefSeq lists it as uncharacterized. NCBI's taxonomy places the organism in Eukaryota, Metazoa, Chordata, Aves, Anseriformes, Anatidae. The record is from RefSeq and is a predicted model, not a curated record. The transcript is spliced from 3 exons.
UGAUUUUUGUUGUUCGGUGUGAUUCUCUGAGUGAAGAUAAUGCACAAAGGAUCAGAGGUUGUCUUGCAUCAAAUUUGUAGUGUUUGAAGGAAACAGCUUUGGAAAGAAACUCAUGGUGUUUACUAGUUCCUGGAAGAUGCAGAUCUCUCCAGCAGCUUGUAGUUUUUUGUCUUAGCAGGUGAGGUUGAUGGCCUAGAGGAUCCCAACCAGUCUGAUGUUUCUAUGACUCAUUCCAGUGAAAUCACUGAAAAUAUUGACAUUCAGUGGAUCUCCAUGUUGUCAUUGAGAGGGAAGCAAUAUACAGCAUCUAGAAGCUGCUAUGUUGAAGAAAGUUGUAUAGAUUCAAUAAUAAAAAUAGAAGAGAAAUUUUCCAA